GACGAACGCUGGCGGCGUGCCUAACACAUGCAAGUCAACUUGACUGAAGGAGCAAUCUGACAGUAGAGUGGCGCAAGGGUGCGUAACGCGUAAGUAACUUGCCCCAAGGUAAGGAAUAACGUCGAGAAAUCGGCGCUAAUACCUCAUAAUGCAGCGGAUCCGCAUGGAUAUGUUGUUAAAGGUUUACCGCCUUGGGAUAGGCUUGCGUCUGAUUAGCUAGUUGGUGUGGUAACGGCACACCAAGGCUACGAUCAGUAACUGGUCUGAGAGGAUGAUCAGUCACACUGGAACUGAGACACGGUCCAGACUCCUACGGGAGGCAGCAGUGAGGAAUAUUGGGCAAUGCUCGAAAGAGUGACCCAGCAACGCCGCGUGGAGGAUGAAGGUAUUCUAUAUCGUAAACUCCUGUGUAGAGCAGACGAAAGACAGAUUAUUAAUCUGGAUGACUGUAUGCUCAGAGGAA
RNAcentral lists this ribosomal RNA (463 nucleotides) under uncultured bacterium. RNAcentral describes it as "bacterial SSU rRNA". It matches the Rfam family "Bacterial small subunit ribosomal RNA", at positions 28 to 489 of the family's 1533-position model. The record is from RNAcentral.